GCGUAGGGUACGUAGGCGGAUAUUUAAAAAUAUUGUAAAAGACUGAGGAAUAACCUCUUUAAUCAAUGUUAACUGAAUAUCUUGAAUUUUAAAGGCGGUUUAUUGAAUUCUUGAAGCAAGGGUGAAAUUGAUGAUAUUGGAAGACAUUCGAUAGCGAAAGCAUUAUCCGAUUUAAAUUUGACGCUAGGUACGAAAGUAUGGGGAUAAAUAGGAUUAGAGACCUAGUAGUCCAUACCUUAAACAAUGAGUAUUCAACAUCUUUUAAUGUAUAAUAUCAACUUAUAUAUUAUCUGUGGUUUAAAGCUAACGCGAGAAAUACCGCCUGGGAAAUGUGGCCGCAAGGUUAAACUCAAAGGAAUUGACGGAGACUUAUACAAGG
RNAcentral lists this ribosomal RNA (379 nucleotides) under Badhamiopsis ainoae. RNAcentral describes it as "SSU rRNA". It matches the Rfam family "Bacterial small subunit ribosomal RNA", at positions 558 to 930 of the family's 1533-position model. Lineage: Eukaryota; Evosea; Eumycetozoa; Physariida; Physaraceae. The record is from RNAcentral.